This 585-nucleotide ribosomal RNA is filed under the name Triticum aestivum (bread wheat). RNAcentral's name for it is "partial small subunit ribosomal RNA". Lineage: Eukaryota; Viridiplantae; Streptophyta; Magnoliopsida; Poales; Poaceae. The record is from RNAcentral.
AUGUACAAUGCCUUCACCAACGAGCUGGACAACCUGACAUCUUUUCAGGUUAACUGGUGGCUGUAUCACGAUAGAGCUUGGGGGUUCGAGCUGAACGAGAUGUGCGAGCGGGACCGCCUUCUCUUCUGGUGCAUUGUCUCGCUGAUAUGCGUGCACGCCGUUGAAUGGCACCUACCACAACGCGUGGCGACACAAUUUGUGGUAUUGCAACACACACCACCGGCAAGGCCCCACGACACCGGCGGUUACGACCUUCACAAGAAGAGCAGGCGGUAUUCUCAGUCGAUAUUGGACUGGGCUGACGAGCACAAAUCUUUUGUGACAAUGUGGGACGAGAGGACGUUCCGCAAAGAUGGAGAGAGGUUAGGCAUUUUCUGGAAUGUGUAUGAGAGGCACAUGAAUUGGUAUGACGAUGGCAUCAAGUUUCGUCUGCGUCUGAGGCCACGAUGGACGGAAGCGUACAUGACAUCACUUCAGGAGGAGGAGGACUCUGAGGAUGAAGCAUACAAGAGAAACCUCAGAGAUAUGCAAGGCCGCAGAGCUAAACAAAAACAUUUUCGACGGCUCGAGUGCGCUAAGUUCUGA